GGGCUUAUAGUUUAAUAGGUUAAAACAUGCCGCUCAUAACGGCAGAAAUGAAGGUUCAAGUCCUUCUAUGCUCA
Molecule: transfer RNA, 74 nt
Filed under: Flavobacteriales bacterium
Lineage: Bacteria; Pseudomonadati; Bacteroidota; Flavobacteriia; Flavobacteriales
Description: tRNA-Met
Rfam family: tRNA
About the family: Transfer RNA (tRNA) molecules are approximately 80 nucleotides in length. Their secondary structure includes four short double-helical elements and three loops (D, anti-codon, and T loops). Further hydrogen bonds mediate the characteristic L-shaped molecular structure. tRNAs have two regions of fundamental functional importance: the anti-codon, which is responsible for specific mRNA codon recognition, and the 3' end, to which the tRNAs corresponding amino acid is attached (by aminoacyl-tRNA synthetases). tRNAs cope with the degeneracy of the genetic code in two manners: having more than one tRNA (with a specific anti-codon) for a particular amino acid; and 'wobble' base-pairing, i.e. permitting non-standard base-pairing at the 3rd anti-codon position.
Source: RNAcentral